UCACCCUGCUCGCUGUGCUGAUGAGGAAAGAGCUCACAGCUGCAAGCCUGCUUUAUUUAGCACUGACUGGGGCUCUUUGUAAGAAACCCACCCAAAGAGGAGGCAGACCUGUCUGAUCAGGCAUUCCUGGGACCUAAAAUGGUGCUUGUUUAAACUGCAGGCUGGCUUGGGGGCUGCAGAAGUAAGAACCUCAGGCUGGCUGAAUGAAAUUUUCCCUAUAAGACUACUCCAGUGCUAAUGACAGCAACAAUAAGGGAACCAGCAAUUCAAUACUGGAGGAUGCUGCUGAGGGAACAUUGACAUAAGGGCAGGUUGUAUUAACCCUCCUUGAGAGCUGUCCCGUUGUAGCCUACCUGCUUCUGAAACCUCAGCUACGUGUCUGCAGGAUGCUGUGGGGUGCAGCUGUGAAUGUGCUGGUUGCACGGAGCAGACCAUCACAAUGGCUGUAAGAUGCAGACCAGAUGGUGGUCCCAGCUCUGCACCGUGGUCCAUCCAGGUCACCUGCACUGCAGAGAGCUGCCCAGGAGAACUUCAAGGCAGUGCCCGUGCCACUUCUCCUGGUUGCCACCUUGAGCUCCGGUUCUUACAAAGGCAAUUAAACAGCUGGAGACCUGUGUCUCUUCAGCUGUAAGUGAGGUAACAAUUUAACAGAGGUAACUCGUUAUGUGGAAUGACGCUGACUGCUGUGAUACUUACAAUCAUCUUGUGACACUCUGGAGCUCAAUGCAUAAAAUAUUAGCUUGUGUCCUGUUUCCUUCUCCCUGCCCCAAGAGUGGUAUUGAGCAGUCACAAUUCAAAGUCCUUCUCUGCCAGAGUAAGCACAUAUUCCCAGAAGAAGUGGCCAGGACAGUGUAUGCGUGAGGCUGUGAGGCAUGUAUGGCAUAGAUGGUAUUCACUAAACCCCCAAUGUACAAGGAAGGAAUGGCAAACUUCGAGCCUACACGCAGUGUGUUCCUCAGUGCUGCUCUCUCCAUGCCUUUGUAUCAGACAACAACUGCGCCAGGGUCUACCUGCUCUUCACUCACUUCCUAGGGAAUCAGCCAGUUCCAUGGCCUGGGCCUUGAUGGAAGGUCACCCAGCUCUGUGGCUCCGGAGAGACAACAUAAAGACAGAAGGAAUAAAGCAGAGAAAAGAGGACAAAUGUAGGCAAGAAAUGCUGUGGAGAGGGACUUCCAGCACACAGUUCUACAGAAAAAUUUCAUCCACACCAAACUGGGCUGAAACUCCUGCCAGGACUGCCAUCACUAGCCCUGAAGCAGUUGGCAUCAGCAGCACUCACCAGGCAGCACCAGAGCCUGGAUCAGACCCUUAAAUAACACACAGACCCUUAUUUGGGAAAGGGCUUGCAGAGGGCUCCCAGGUAAUGAACUGAAAACCUCCUGUUGUAGCACAUCUGGCAGUGCCCCAGUAAUGAACUGUAGCACCGAUGUAACACACACAGCAUAAAACAUCAACAUGUACAGCAUAAAUACUGCUUGGACCUCUCUCUUGAUGCGAGAGAGAGAUAAAUGAUAGCAGUUUAACUUCUGGCUAAGCUAUAGUCUUUUUCUCAGCAGAAAAGGCAAGCACGUGAAUUUCAGAUGGCAGCUGUGAAUGUAUCCUAUCCUUUUGUUCUCUGUUGCCAUUUAGUCAUCCAUUCUUCGAUCUUUCCCCAUAACAUUCCAUUGUUUCAUUUUCCUAGGAAUCCAAAUCACUCCCCAGCCUUCUCUUCUAACAAUUCUUGUUUUUCUGGGCAAGGAAUUCACAGUCUUACUCACAGAGUGCUACUCACUCAGAGGUGAAGCUGGACAAAAUCAAGCUUGCUAAUACUCACUUCAUAUUUACCAUUAUGAUGCAUUUCAAAGAUUAUUUAACAGGACCACAAACUUGCUCAUCCCAGACAGUUUUGCGUAAAACAUUAAGAUACCCAAGACAGGAUUUAUUUGCAAAAAUUCUGCCAAAAGCUAGGGAUAUUUCCAGAUGAAUGGCAGUUAGGUAGUCAGCCUCAGAGUUUUUCAGUAAGACCAGAGACACUGAGACACUGUUGGCAAAUUCUAUAGAAAAUUCUAUGUAUGUUUCCAUGUUGCCUUUCAGUUCCUUCUGCCUUAGCAUCCAUCGGCUAUGACCACUACUAAAACAGGUACAUGCUGAAUGUUGUGUUCCCAAAUCCACUAUAAGUAUCCAAUUAUAAGAUCCCAUAGGAAUUACGUCCUUUAAUUCUCUUAGAUCUAAAGACAGAGCAUUUCAUUUUCACCACUAAGGGUACAGGCUUUCUGAUUUUCAGUCAGUGCCUCCAUUAAAUACAUAAAUCAUCCCUUUUUGAAAAAUGAAAGGAAAACCACAACCCUGUAAUAUAAACUCAAGCAUUUUUAUUUUUUAUUUUUUAAAUCCGGUAAAGACUGCCUAGCUUUGUUAGCUGUGACUGAAAAUUCUUUAAAAUAUGUCAGCAGAGUUACUUUGUUGCUGUGGUUAACAGCAUUACAUGGGAUUCAGCAUCUAAAUCUCUCAGCCUAUAUUGUGUGUCAGAAGUGCAGGAAAGGAUGGUUGGAGAGAAUUGUGUGGAGCUUAUCGUUGGAGGAGUUUGGAUGCUAUCAUAAUUCUUGUGUCUUGUCCUUAGCAGUAAUGAGAGAGGUUUUGUAGGCUGAGUCUUGAAAAAGAAAGAAUAGGCUUUGUUUGAUCAUUAAGGCAAGUGUCAAACCUUGUGAAUAAUGUAGAUUUUUUUUUUUUUUGGACAUUUGAAGUGGAGAAUAAUGUAUGAUUAAUGCCAGUUCCAUUUUUUAGCUUCCUGUUGCUCUGUACAAACGCCAUGGCAUUUUUCAGAAGCAAAAAAUUGUACAGAACUAUGUCCUGAACAAGGUCUGGAUUACAGUUCUUAUAUUGUAUUUGCUGCGGUUUGUUUUUAAAAGACUUUUAAAAUACCUUUUAAGUAAAAUAAGGAUAUUACAAUCUUCAGUCUUCUAGGGCCUAAGCAGAGAUCUGUCCUCAGUUGCAUCUUUAGAUGCUCAAUGUAAUUCAGCUUAAAAACAUAGUACUUUCAGUAUCUCAAGUGUCUUUGUCUCUUAGAAACGUCUUUUGGCUUUACUUCAGGAUAAUUAUAUUCAUCGUUUUCACCUUAGGCUAUAGGUUGUAGGGUAUGAUUUAAUCUUGUAUGUGACUGUAGAAUAAUUGGAAGGGUGUCAAGAACAGAGUUAGUCCUAUCAUCUUGUACUGAGAAAGGUCUUGGUAGCCUUUAACCUUGACUGAUGUUUGUUUAACCUUGUGUUUACCUCAAAUUAAAGAAACUGUGUCCAGUAUGCAUUUUUAUAGUGGCCACCUAAAGGUACCUGUGCCUGCGUUGGCUACUCUCAUCUACUUCUGAGUAAAGAGAAUAAAUUGGAGCAUGGCCUCUUCCAUCCUCCCAGCACAGUCUCACCUUGGUGAGCUGGAGGGACUGGUAUUAAGCUGAGUGGGAGCUGGAAGACCAAAGCCUCUUCCCUUGGCUCCACUUAUUCCUGCCUGUAUAUAUGCAGAAAAUAAUUUUGUUUUCUUCCAGGAUAAAUCCUUACAAUCUCAGCAAGUUAUUGUAUUAAACAAAUAAAGAUUAAAAAUGAUGUUUCAGUCAGACUUCCUUUGGCUCUUCCCUGUCUGACCUGGACACCUAGGAGGAGCCUCAUCACUGCCACAUGUCAUUCUGGGACAAGGAGCCCUCCAGUUCAAUAACCAACCAAAAAUUAGAGUCCUUGGAUAUUUUUUGAGUUGAAAAUGUUUGCUAAUUUCCAACUUCAAAAUUUGAAAAUCACAGUGAUAUCUCCUUUUCUUUCCUCCACUGCAAAUGGUGGAAUACAGAAGAUGGUGAUGAACACUAGCCCGUGUCUAUCUGCUUGCUCCAUCUCUCUUUAUGUUCCUAUAUCUCUCUGUCUCUGUUUUUCCAUUUAUCUGUCUCUCUUAAAAAUACAAUACAAUACAAUACAAUAAUAAAAUUUAAAGCUCCAGUUUAUUCUCUUUACUCAGAAAUGUUUGACUCCUGACAUUGUUGAGGCUCUUCAAUUCUUGCCAAUUUACCUAUGCAUCCUUUUUCUUUCUUUUUCUUUUUGUUAAAAUAAGACAGUCCUGAAUGAAAUUCUCUGGACUAGGCUCCAGUGUGCCAAGUACCAAGGAAUAAUCACCCCUCAUGUUUCAUAUAUGAUAUUGCUAACAUACAGCCAAAUGAGAUUUAUGCUUCUGCAACAACACUACACCACUGACAGGCACUUUAGCUCAAUUCUUGUCCAAUAAUAGUACUGUCUGGCCAGAGAAUUCCCAUUUUAUCUAGUACAUAGCCACUUGUCCACUUUGAAUGUCAUCUCAUUGAAUUCUGACCAUCUUUCCAAUUUAUCGGGAUCAUUUUGAAUCUUAAUUCUGGCUUCAAGAAUGCUGUUACCCUUGAUAGUUUAAUGUACACUGCAGAUUUUACAUGAGUAUAGACUUCCAUCAUUUAAUUUAAUGAAGGAACUGACAGAUCUUUGACUGAAAUACCUUCCUACAUUUAGAGCACAGUAUUAGAUCUCUUAGGAAACCCUAUUUGCAGCCAUCUCGGUAGUACCACUGAUUAGCACUAGUACAUAUUUCCUCAACUUUUUUAUAUGGAUGUUCUGCAGUUUUACCAGGGCAAAUAUAGAUGUCCCCUUCUGCUUCUCUUAUCCAGGAGGCAAUUAUUCUGCCAAAGAACAAACUGAGGUUUUUUGUUUGUUUGUUUGUUUUUCCUUUCUAGGGCUCAGGAAUAAAAUACUUUAACAAAAUCUGACUAUAUUUUAGUUCUAAAUUUUACUCUCUCUAAUUUCUUUGCCAUGGUUGCAGCCAGUAAGGUGGAGGGCUUGAUGAUUUUAUUAUUGUGGCAUUGUAGGUGGUUGUAGAUAUGAACAAGAAAAGUUGUCAAGGUAUAUAAUCAUCCACAGAACAGGUUUAAUGUAAACUUCAUUCAGACUGUUUUUUGUUGUUGUUGUUUUUUGUUUGUUUGUUUCCUCCUGAGAAUUACUUUACAUUUUAUAUUUGAGUGUUUUGCAUGAGAAGGUAUUUUUAUGGUGAUUUUUAAUACAUUAAUUUGAUGAGAUCAUAAGGAUUUACAUUGGAAGGAAUUGGAAUUAAUUUCUACAUAAACAAAAGGUAUCAUUCUAUGAGCGUAAAAUUUCUAUCUAUUUCCCUUCCAUAAUUUGUCAUGAAGGGGAGAUAAAAAUAUGUGAAAUCACAUAGCAAUAGGGUCUUUGGGUCUGUUCUCUCCCUGCUUCAUGACUGCUAAUAAAAUUUUUUAGUGGAAAAAUCUAUGAAGAAGGGAAAAGCGCCGGUCUAUUUAAGAAGCAAGAAUUUCAUUACGACACAAAUUCUGGAUUCCAUUCACUGUGUUAAACUUCCUUUUGUCCUUUCCAUGUUAAUUUAUAUUCUACCCUGUCCUAGAUACUAGAUCUUUUCCUCAAACUGCCUUCAAUAAUACAGAACAUUGUUUGGGGGAAGAUUUUUUUUCUUCUUUUCUUUUCUGCUGAAUGUAUGAUGAGAAGCUUGAAUAACCCCUCAAGGUAACACGUUUAAGGAAAAUCUUAUCAGGGUGGGAAGAACAAGCAGUGGAGCGACUGCUGAGUCACUUCCUCCUACCAUGCAAGGCAUCUUCAGUAACCCAGAAAGCUUGUCAAAGUCAAAACCAUGCUUCACUGGUAUAGCACAUCUAUCUGGGAUAUCAUCAUCAGGCUUCCUGACAAAUCUUUGGGGGGAAGACAAGAUAAUUAAGGAACUGACUUUAGAAUGUGAGCUGUUAACUUGCGCACUGAGCUCAGCGGAGCAGGCAACUUGUAAAUGUCACCGUCAAACCAGAUAUUUAUUGGUUUGAACUGACACACUCUAACUUUUCUGUAAGUAGUGAGGAUAUAUUCCCUAUCACUUGAGACAUUUAAAACUGCAGCAGAUUGAACACAGCCUGAAAAAAAUGUUCUCUUGAGCUGAUUGCUCUUAUGGCAGCAAGGGGAGUGAUGAGAUGAACUGUUUUGUUCUGCCUUUCUUACCCUCUUCCUUUCUGCUCUUGUCCCCUACUUUCUUGCCACCACCUCCAAGCUGCUGUUGUUUUUUUUUUCUACAAUUAAAUUUGUUUCCAUAGCACUAUAGGGUAAGUGGGCAACUCAUCUGGUAUAAUAAUAAUGUGUACAUGGAGAAUAAGACAUAGUGGCCUGACAUAGUGGCCAGGGUACAAAAUAUUUGGAACAUUUUUAAAAGCAAAUAUUCACUUUUUUUUUUUUUCCUCUCCUUGCUUGCCAGCUGCAGACUGUGCUGUGAAACCAAUCACAGACUCAUUCCCAAACUGUCCAGAUGAAAAAGACCCAAAGGCUACUUUGCUUAUUGCCAUAACUCUCUGGAAUCGCUUCUUGCCAUAUAUUUGAGUACUAUAUUCAGGUUAAUUUGCUAUUGCUUUUCACCAGAAAGCUAUCCCAUACCCUGAUAAAUCUCAUCCCCAGCUCUUCCUACAAAUCCUGUCCUGAAAAACUCAGUCCAUGUUUUCCUGUGUCCAUUUUCAUUCUGAAGCAGCAUCUGCUGCUUGAAAUAUUUAAAGGCUUAGGACCUCAAGCAAGCACCAAAGAAUGCUGGUCAGUCUUUCCCUGUCAUAUCUUUUGCUCUGUGGAGGACCUGGCAUUGUAAUAAAAAUUCCAGACAGGCAAGCAAACAUGAUCCGUAUGACAGGACUAUCUCCUUCUUUCAUCUCCUGGAGAUAAAGACCUUCUUACCUCCAACUUGGAAAGGAUUAUUUAGCAAGCAUGAAAGGAGAAGUGCCUUGUAACACUGUUGGUACUACUGUACUGAAUUAAAGAAAACCCUUUAUAGAAUAUAGAGAAGAAACAGAAUUUUAAAACAAUCAUCUCACAGAUAUGAGCCAUUCAGGUGCCUAGGAGGGCCAAGAGGAGAUUGAAAUAGUUCAGGCUUCAUUCUGCAACACAGAACCCAGCACAGCCUCAUUCACCCCACCUCCUUCUGCGUGCUUUGCUUGCAGAGCUGGUGCACGGAGCUCUGUUUUGGUCCAGGGUGGUUUGUGUAAAGGUGAUGUGGGUGUAUAUACACACAGCGUGCUGCCAUGUCCUCAGAGGGACAGUCCCAGCUGCAAAGUAGGACAUGCCCUGCUGAACGCCCUUCUCCAGGUGCUCAGCACUCCCUUAGGGUACUAUGUAUUACCAUAUCAUCCACCUGUGAGUCGUGAAUGCUCCUAUCUUGAUGCUGUAAUGCUCAGUCACCUGUUUGACCUUGCCCAUGAUACCUCACUGAAACUAAUGAAAAGUUUUCUGUCAUUUACAAAGGAGCAGAACCAGACUAUACAGAAGGAUUAAUGAAAUUCAAAUUCAAAGCUAUUCAGGAGAGAAGCAUAAAAGUCCUGGGUUGGAAGCUAUUUUGGAAUUUCCUUUUUCAUUUCAGCUUUAACUCUGGAUUGAAAUGAUAAUCUUUUGCCAUCCUCAUACAGAUCUUUGAGAUAGCUUUAGUAUAGUUUGUCAGAUAAUUUUCAAAUACUGUAGCCUCAAUACAGGAACUGAAUCCUGCCUUUACAUCUUUUAGUGGGAACCCUCAUAAAUGUCACUAAAAAUAUAAAAAAGCACUAGUUGCCUGAGUAAGUGCUGAUGAAGGUGUGCUGCUUUGGAAAAACAGCUCUCUUUGAGUGGUGUGCAUUACCAGUUUUGAGCUCUGCAGAGUAAAAUCUUGGUUAUCUCUCUGUAUUCUGCACAAGCAUGGUAUUAAUAGCCUUGGUGUGCCCUUUCAAUCAGAAAAAUGUCUUGAUUUGUAUACUUAUAUAGCACAGGCCAAGCUGAAGUGAGAAUUUAUUUCCUGAGGAAAACAGAUUUAAUGUGAAAGGUGAUCUGCAGAAGUUUCAGUUUUAGUUGCCUUGGAUAAGCAUCAAGAAAUGCAGCUGCUUGUUCAAGCGGGUCUCCCAUACGUCUGAGAGCUGCAAAGUCAAGGAUGGCAGGGAAGCAGGAAGGCAAGGUUCUGUACACAGAUCCCUUUCUUCAAGGCCAGGGUACAUAUUAGAAGCAUUAAAGUAGGUAGGAUUACCAUGAUAACCAUCAAACUCACGCUUCCAGUACCCCACUUUACACUGCUUUGUGGCUCAGAAGCCUGCCUCAGCUCCUGUCCCCCAAGAGUUAUGUGCCCCUCCAGCUACACUGAAUUUUUGCAUCCUCUUCUUCUGAUACUACUACUCUCUCCAACCUAGAAUCCCUCAUCUCCUCCUGAACUUCAGCUGCACACUUCAUUGUGGGAAAGAAAAGA
This is a non-coding RNA of Anas platyrhynchos (mallard), 8226 nucleotides long. Lineage: Eukaryota; Metazoa; Chordata; Aves; Anseriformes; Anatidae. The record is from RefSeq and is a predicted model, not a curated record.